GCCAACUUCUAUAGUUUACGGGUUAGAGUAGUCGGCUAAUGCAUGCAUUGUAUAUAUGGUAGGUCCAACAUCUUCAUUAGAAUUUAUACCUUCAUGAUCGGAGUCCACAUUCUUAGCUUUCAAUUCCUCUCCCAUUGGUUCAAUCAUCAGAAGUUGCCCUUGUUUACAUCGGUGCUCCAUACUCCAUUUUUCAUCAUAAUACAAACCCCUUGUUGAUCUUUCCUUGCUAAUUUUUUUCUCAUGUAGAUUUGCAAAUGAGAUCGCAGCUAUCAUAGUACGGGGUUGACGAG
RNAcentral lists this long non-coding RNA (290 nucleotides) under Musa acuminata (dwarf banana). RNAcentral's name for it is "long non-coding RNA (MACU_LNC005792)". The record is from RNAcentral. Lineage: Eukaryota; Viridiplantae; Streptophyta; Magnoliopsida; Zingiberales; Musaceae.